CGCCAGCGUCGGGAGGUGCGGUGUCCAGGCCUGGGGACAGUUACCUCCGUUUGUCCCCUCCGCCUCCCACGGGCUGUGUGAAAAUGAACUCUUUCAGACUGGGGUCAUCAGCUGUCCAGACCAAUGCCAUUUGGCCGAUAGUGGCCUCAGACAAGCCCUCCUUGGUUUCCUUUCUUCCUCACCCGGAAUGUCAACCCGAGGCCUCUGGCGGCUGAAUUCUGCUGUAUGGAGGCCGCUUGGUGCAAGGUCUCAUUUCUACACCUGGUGGAGGGCAGUACAGGGUGGAAAAUAAGAGCUCCUGCUCUGGAGCCGGACUGGCAGCCUUUUCCUUGCUCUAUCACUUAAGAGUUGUGGAACUGUGAGUUAUUAAAUCUCUUUCCUCUUUAGUUUCCUCAUCAAUAAAAUGGGGAUAAUAAAUGAAUAUUCUAUAAAUGAGUUCAUAUAAAAUGCCUAGAAUAGUGAGUGCUCUGAGCGUUUUCAAAGUUUAGGGCCUGGUAGAAGCAUGGCUGUAGGCUGCCUGCUGGGAAAGUUGGGACACCGAUGAGUAUUACGGUUGUCUGACUGGCA
RNAcentral lists this long non-coding RNA (567 nucleotides) under Dasypus novemcinctus (nine-banded armadillo). RNAcentral describes it as "lncRNA (ENSDNOG00000051092.1)". Lineage: Eukaryota; Metazoa; Chordata; Mammalia; Cingulata; Dasypodidae. The record is from RNAcentral.